RNAcentral lists this small RNA (821 nucleotides) under Arabidopsis thaliana (thale cress). The record is from RNAcentral. Lineage: Eukaryota; Viridiplantae; Streptophyta; Magnoliopsida; Brassicales; Brassicaceae.
UUAUUCAAUGAAGCAGAUACGGUAAAUACAUGGUUGAAUUUCUUAAUAUGAGCCAAAGUUUUGUUUUUUUUUAUAUGGGUUUCUGUGUUUUGAUUGGCUGGGAUGAUGAAUUGUAACAGCUUGAUACGCCAGUUCUGCUUCAGAUAAUUCUUGAUCGAAAAAGCUGUAUUCUUAUCCGAGCCUUUCAUUGCUAUUUUGUCUUUCUUCUGAGUUAUUAUUUCUUGGGAAUGUCGAUGAGGAUCUAAUCCAAUCUUACGAGGUGCAGUGGAGCUGAGACCUUGUUUUACAGGGAGAACCCCUUGGCAGAAGCUGCAAUUUCUUUGACUUCAAUGGAUUUUACUGAGACUUUCUCAUUCAUUUAUCGUUUUUAUUGAAAUCUAUUUGAGUUUAAACUAUACACUUGCACUUGUAUCUUAGUGCUUGUAGUCUGAAAAAACUCAUAAAUUCUCAGUGUUCUCAUCAGCUUCCGUCUCCUUAACCAUGAGACUUGAGUUAAACAAGAUCACUACAUUAUUCUCUUUCAAUUUCACAUUAUCUUUUUGUUUUCUUGUUUUGAGUUUAUAUUUCGGACUAAAGAGUAUGUUUUGCCCGUAUUUAUGAGGUUGGAUAUGGAUAUUAAACAACAAGUCUAUCCGUUCCAACAACGCUUUUCAUAGAGUCAUUUCGUUGCUACAAGUUAUUGGAUGAGAAAGGGGCUGCUACGUUGCGAAUUUCUUGAUCCCCUGUUGUAGAAUUGAGUCAAACACAUCCAUUUUCUUCUUCUCUAGUGCUAUUCCAAUCUCAACUCCAUUGCUGCCGUCUCUGGACUCUGAGAAUGCGAU